GACGAACGCUGGCGGCAGGCCUAAUACAUGCAAGUCGAACGCUCGUAGCAAUACGAGAGUGGCAGACGGGUGAGUAACACGUGGGAACCUUCCCUAUGGUUCGGAAUAGCUCAGGGAAACUUGAGGUAAUACCGGAUAAGCCCUUACGGGGAAGAUUUAUCGCCAUUGGAUGGGCCCGCGUCGGAUUAGCUAGUUGGUGGGUAACGGCCGUACCAAGGCGACGAUCCGUAGCUGGUCUGAGAGGAUGAUCAGCCACACUGGGACUGAGACACGGCCCAGACUCCUACGGGAGGCAGCAGUAGGGAAUAUUGGACAAUGGGCGCAAGCCUGAUCCAGCCAUGCCGCGUGAGUGA
Molecule: ribosomal RNA, 353 nt
Filed under: uncultured bacterium
Lineage: Bacteria
Description: bacterial SSU rRNA
Rfam family: Bacterial small subunit ribosomal RNA
Source: RNAcentral